UGGGGAAUAUUGCACAAUGGGCGCAAGCCUGAUGCAGCAACGCCGCGUGAGGGACGACGGCCUUCGGGUUGUAAACCUCUUUUAGUAGGGAAGAAGCGAAAGUGACGGUACCUGCAGAAAAACGCACCGGCUAACUACGUGCCAGCAGCCGCGGUAAUACGUAGGGUGCGAGCGUUGUCCGGAAUUAUUGGGCGUAAAGAGCUCGUAGGCGGUCUGUCGCGUCUGCUGUGAAAAUCCCGAGGCUCAACCUCGGGCCUGCAGUGGGUACGGGCAGACUAGAGUGCGGUAGGGGAGAAUGGAAUUCCUGGUGUAGCGGUGGAAUGCGCAGAUAUCAGGAGGAACACCGAUGGCGAAGGCAGUUCUCUGGGCCGUAACUGACGCUGAGGAGCGAAAGCGUGGGGAGCGAACAGGAUUAGAUACCCUGGUAGUCCACGCCGUAAACGUUGGGCGCUAGAUGUGGGGCACCAUUCCACGGUUUCCGUGUCGCAGCUAACGCAUUAAGCGCCCCGCCUGGGGAGUACGGCCGCAAGGCU
This 533-nucleotide ribosomal RNA is filed under the name uncultured bacterium. RNAcentral's name for it is "partial 16S ribosomal RNA". It matches the Rfam family "Bacterial small subunit ribosomal RNA", at positions 355 to 895 of the family's 1533-position model. The record is from RNAcentral.